This 116-nucleotide ribosomal RNA is filed under the name Danio rerio (zebrafish). Lineage: Eukaryota; Metazoa; Chordata; Actinopteri; Cypriniformes; Danionidae. The record is from RNAcentral.
UGGCCGGCAGCUAGCUCUCUGCAACUCUCACAUGGUCGCCCACUGAAGCUAAGCAGGGCUGUGCCCGGUCAGUACCUGGAUGGGAGACCACAUGGGAAAGCUAGGUUGCCGGAAGU